AACCGCUUUCAGCUCUGACGAAGCGUUAUGUGACGGUAGGAGCAGAAGAAGCACCGGCUAACUACGUGCCAGCAGCCGCGGUAAUACGUAGGGUGCGAGCGUUGUCCGGAAUUAUUGGGCGUAAAGAGCUUGUAGGCGGUUUGUCGCGUCUGCUGUGAAAUCCCGGGGCUUAACCCCGGGCUUGCAGUGGGUACGGGCAGGCUAGAGUGUGGUAGGGGAGACUGGAAUUCCUGGUGUAGCGGUGGAAUGCGCAGAUAUCAGGAGGAACACCGAUGGCGAAGGCAGGUCUCUGGGCCAUUACUGACGCUGAGAAGCGAAAGCGUGGGGAGCGAACAGGAUUAGAUACCCUGGUAGUCCACGCCGUAAACGUUGGGCGCUAGGUGUGGGUCCCAUUCCACGGGGUCCGUGCCGCAGCUAACGCAUUAAGCGCCCCGCCUGGGGAGUACGGCCGCAAGGCUAAAACUCAAAGGAAUUGACGGGGGCUCGCACAAGCGGCGGAGCAUGCGGAUUAAUUCGAUGCAACGCGAAGAACCUUACCAAGGCUUGACAUAUACCGGAAACCCUCAGAGAUGGGGGCCCCGCAAGGUCGGUAUACAGGUGGUGCAUGGUUGUCGUCAGCU
This 620-nucleotide ribosomal RNA is filed under the name uncultured Ornithinimicrobium sp. RNAcentral's name for it is "bacterial SSU rRNA". It matches the Rfam family "Bacterial small subunit ribosomal RNA", at positions 428 to 1060 of the family's 1533-position model. Lineage: Bacteria; Bacillati; Actinomycetota; Actinomycetes; Micrococcales; Ornithinimicrobiaceae. The record is from RNAcentral.